This 385-nucleotide long non-coding RNA is filed under the name Musa acuminata (dwarf banana). Its description in RNAcentral is "long non-coding RNA (MACU_LNC004669)". Lineage: Eukaryota; Viridiplantae; Streptophyta; Magnoliopsida; Zingiberales; Musaceae. The record is from RNAcentral.
GCCGAUCCCCUCGAAGCGAUCAAGGAGGCCGAUCCCCUCGAAACGAUCAUUAUCAUCCCCAUUUCUUCCUUUUCUUCGACGAUAAGACUUUAGGGUCUUAUCAUUUGGUAUCAGAGUGACGAUAAGACCUUUAGGGGAUAUCAUUUGGUAUCAGAGCCUACGAUAAGACUUUAGGGUCUUAUCAUUUGGUAUCAGAGCCUACGAUAAGACCUUUAGGGUCUUAUCAUUUGGUAUCAGAGCGGCGAUCCUUGCCGCGUUCCCGCUGCAACGUAACUAAAAAAAAAAAAUAAAGAGAAAGGAAGAGAGAAGAAGAAGAAGCCGCAGCCACGCAUCCCUGCUUCUGCGGCCAGCCCACCGUCGCCCCUGCUCUCCGGCACGCUACGCC